This is a long non-coding RNA of Neofelis nebulosa (Clouded leopard), 345 nucleotides long. RefSeq lists it as uncharacterized. The transcript has 2 exons. The record is from RefSeq and is a predicted model, not a curated record. NCBI's taxonomy places the organism in Eukaryota, Metazoa, Chordata, Mammalia, Carnivora, Felidae.
UAUCUGAUACCUGUAUGCUUUCACAUCUCCCAAGCAGAGCUACUCUAAAGUUGACAAGAUUAAAAGAAAUACCACAUAGAACAAAUUGAAGCCUUAUAUGGGGAAUGAGACAGACAACAAAGGAGAAAGUGCUUAGCUCUGUGCCUGGUAUACAGAUACCGACCUCAUCAUCUUUUCCCUCCUUGCUAGUUGCUUUAAAUUAACUGAAUCUUCAGGCUCAGAUAAUAAGCAUAUCAUAAAUGAACAGAAAAUUUAUCAUGUGCUACAAGGACCCAGGGCAGGGUCUUGUCAGGUUCUAUUCCAGGCCAUUCAGGAAUCCAACCCAGAAGACAGUGAAAUAUUGGA